Molecule: long non-coding RNA, 203 nt
Filed under: Nicotiana benthamiana
Lineage: Eukaryota; Viridiplantae; Streptophyta; Magnoliopsida; Solanales; Solanaceae
Description: long non-coding RNA (NBEN_LNC015720)
Source: RNAcentral
CUCGAACAGGUAAUUGGCGACAUCGGAGAAAAGGUAAGUACCCGAAACUCUCUUAAGAACACAUUAGGACACAUUUCUUAAGAAACACGUUCUCAUUGCAUCAUUUCGUUGCAAAUUACUAACUUGAGCGUCGGAGACGUCUAAUUCUCUUUUGCAGGUAUCGCCCUAAAGGCAGGGGGAAUUAUAAAGAAAUGGCAUAGAAC